AGUCCGGGUGAAACUUGGGCUCCAACCGACUGCUCCCUCCUGAAGGAGGCCGGUUGUCCGAAGGCCCCCACCUGGGGUGUGGAUUGCUCUAGGAUUGAGGAAACCUCUGCAAGAAACAAACGGCAGAUGCCUCCCUUGAUCUCUGCUCCCACUUCUCUCCCCAAAGCGAACCCUUCCAGGGCCCUGCGGGCGUGAAGAUUCUCAGCAAGUGGCAGCCAACUGCAGUUGUCUCCAGGAAGGUGCAGUGAUGGGACCCAGGGGUGGAGCAGCGGCCACGUCAGGGCCAGCACCGCCCAGCCCCUGUGUUGUCCCCACCAGCAGUACCCUCGUUUGACGAUGGCAGGUGCAUUUGAAGGAGUGACCAGUUUGCAGGGAACUGCACCAACCUUCUAAAGCACAGCACCAGACGUUUCCAGACCUUCCUGGCGUCCCAUCAUCUGGGGAAUCUGUUAAAAUGAAGGUUUCCAAGUCUCAUGCCCAGGGAGUCAGGCCCAGUAGUUCUGGGGUAGGGCCCGGGAACCUGCUUUUUUUUUUUUUUUUUUUUUUUUUUUUUGAGACGGAGUCUGGCUCUGUCGCCCAGGCUGGAGUUUCUCCGCUCACCGCAAGCUCCGCCUCCUGGGUUCACGCCAUUCUCCUGCCUCAGCCUCCCGAGUAGCUGGGACCACAGGUGCCCGCCAUCAUGCCCGGCCAAUUUUUUUUUUUUGUAUUUUAGUAGAGACAGGGUUUCACCGUGUCAGCCAGGAUGGUCUCGAUCUCCUGACCUCGUGAUCCGCCCGUCUCGGCCUCCCAAAGUGCUGGGAUUACAGGCGUGAGCCACCACACCCAGCGGGAACCUGCAUUUUACCUUACUUUAGAUCUGAUUUGAGCCUAAACGAUGAGUUUUCUGUGUCGACUUAGCAGGACUCUGGUACCCAGUGAUUCAUCUAACACUCAUCUAGGUGUUGCUGGGAGGGGACAUUGUAUAUGUGAUUCCAUCUACACUCAGUUGACUUUAAGUAACAGAGAUCCCCUCUGUGAUGUGGUGGCCUCGUCCAAUGAGCUGACAGCCUGAGGAGCAGAAACUGAGGGUUCCCAGAGAAGAAGAGAGUCAGCCUCGGGGUGGCAGCUCAGCUCUCCAUGCUGGCCUGCUGCAGGCACUUUGGAUUUACUAGCCCCAUAACCACACGAGCCAAUCAUUUUAAAUACACUUCUUCAUAUAC
This 1199-nucleotide long non-coding RNA is filed under the name Macaca mulatta (Rhesus monkey). RNAcentral describes it as "lncRNA (ENSMMUG00000049925.1)". Lineage: Eukaryota; Metazoa; Chordata; Mammalia; Primates; Cercopithecidae. The record is from RNAcentral.